GAACAAAAAAAAAAAAAAAAUUCGGGACAUUUCUGAAUGGAUCACUAAAGCCAUUCCAAAUGACUCUUGGAUGCCAAAUUUCAAUUCUUUUUGUAGAUUAUGCUUGGAAUUGAUAAUGUGAGCAGCUGCUGCCAAGUUUUCUUUCACUAGAAAAUUGGAAGAUACAAUGUUCAUUUCAUGGCUUCAAACUGUAUAAGAUGAUUGGAUCACAUUCAAGUCCAGAUUCUUGAGCCUUGCUACUGAUUCCAUAUGUCCUCUCAAGGUGUGAAUCUCCCCAAGCCUGGCUAUUUCAGCGCGCCGCUUGGCUUGUUCAGCAAUCAAAGAGGAUCGCCUGCCAUUAAACUCCAGGUCUGCAGCCAUCAUACCUUGCAGACUCCUCUGGGACAGAAUCCACUUAGCUGCUCUAUCUUCCUUUCCGUAAUCUUUCUUUGAAGUAAAAGCAGUCUUUCUGUCAAAUAAGAGAUUCCAUGCCUCUCCGCUCAAGGCGUAACGAACUGUGAACUUGAUAAUAUCCAGGGGAAUGUAGAAAAUCAAACUAUAUAACCAAAUAACACCAGCCCAUCCCCAUCCAAUGCCGCUAAUAUCAGCAAAGCUAAUAUGUGCAUAUACAGCAAUUAAGGUAGCCACCUGCAAAAGGACAAUUAAAAAAAUAAAAAUCAUUCAGUGUAGUUUGAUUUGAAAAUACACUUUAGGAUUAUGAUUCAAGUGGAGAAAUGCCAAUAUCAGAUUAAAGAUUUGGCUUCAACAUGCAAUUCCAGAAGAAAAGAUUUUGUAGAACACUAUAGAAUGGAAUCCUUUAUUGGAGCAUUGAUUGACUAAAACUUAUCAGUUGAGCCACCACAAAUGCACACAUCAAGAGAACCCCAGGCCUCUCCAUAAACGACCAACUUUGACUACGCGUAACAAAUAUGAGAGCCUGGCCGAUGAUGCUGACUUGCAGAUAUACAGCAGAGGAAACUUCUUCAGUAUUGCUAGACAGAGAUCUUACAUGGAAGGUUCUCUCAAAGAAAUUAGUGCCAAUCAAAAGCCAGUAAAACAGGACUGUAACCAAAGCAAGGUAUGUCCCAAUGACAAUGCCAGUUGCAAAUAUCUCAGGGAGCUUCCAACUGUCAGGCCUUGGAGAUGGCUUAACCCGAUCUUGAGAAAUAGUCAUAAUAGUACCUAAUUACAGCACACAGGAACAAUCUUCAGUGCAUUCUUAUGAAAAGAUUUUUUUUUUUAAUUACAGUUUCAAGAGAUUCCUUAAUCAAAUUCUUUUGACAAGAAUCAUACAGCUGAUAUGAAUAUAAUCCGAUGAUCUGCCACUUGGUAUUGAAAUUUGAUCCAUGUUAACUAGAAAAGAACUGUAAGGGUUGGCAUGGUUCGAAACAUUACCAUCAUUGAGUAUUGCUAUGAUCAGAACCAUGAAAGGAGGGAAGUCAUAUUCCCAUAUCAGGGCAAGAAGCACAAAACCAAGCACAAUACGAAUUGUUAUCGAAACAGCAUAUAUCUGCACAUUGCAUACAGUAUUAUCAGUUUACCUUUUCUUUUUCCUUUUUGUUUUUUCCAUUAAAUGAAUUCAAUAUGUAUAUAUUUCGAUUGAUACUUCACCGUAUAGUUCUUCAUUCUUUGGAAUAUAGCUCUGCUAGUUAAGACAGCACUAACUAUCACACUUAAGCCAGGCUCCGUUAACACCAAAUCUGCAGCACUUCUUGCAGCAUCUGUAGAAUCUGCCACUGCUAUACCAAUAUCUGCUUUCUUUAAGGCAGGAGCAUCAUUUACACCAUCUCCAGUCAUCCCAACCACAUGCUUCUUUUCUUGUAGGAUUUUCACAAUCUCAUAUUUGUGUUCUGGGAAAACACCAGCAAAGCCAUCUGCCUUCUCA
This 1864-nucleotide unclassified non-coding RNA is filed under the name Hevea brasiliensis (rubber tree). The record is from RNAcentral. Lineage: Eukaryota; Viridiplantae; Streptophyta; Magnoliopsida; Malpighiales; Euphorbiaceae.